RNAcentral lists this ribosomal RNA (398 nucleotides) under uncultured bacterium. Its description in RNAcentral is "bacterial SSU rRNA". It matches the Rfam family "Bacterial small subunit ribosomal RNA", at positions 30 to 429 of the family's 1533-position model. The record is from RNAcentral.
AUUGAACGCUGGCGGCAGGCCUAACACAUGCAAGUCGAGCGGUAGAGAGGUGCUUGCAUCUCUUGAGAGCGGCGGACGGGUGAGUAAUGCCUAGGAAUCUGCCUAGUGGUGGGGGAUAACGUUCGGAAACGGACGCUAAUACCGCAUACGUCCUACGGGAGAAAGCGGGGGAUCUUCGGACCUCGCGCCAUUAGAUGAGCCUAGGUCGGAUUAGCUAGUUGGUGAGAUAAUGGCUCACCAAGGCGACGAUCCGUAACUGGUCUGAGAGGAUGAUCAGUCACACUGGAACUGAGACACGGUCCAGACUCCUACGGAGGCAGCAGUGGGGAAUAUUGGACAAUGGGCGAAAGCCUGAUCCAGCCAUGCCGCGUGUGUGAAGAAGGUCUUCGGAUUGUAAG